CUUCAUCAUGUUCAUCUCCAACAUCAUCACCCACACUAAAUCAUCCCCAGAAACGUACCCAAACCCAAAUGUUCACUAGAUAGGAAGACAACAAAACCCAAUUAGCAGUAAUAACAGGUCAUUUAAGAGAAGAACCUAUGACUCUCAAAUUCAAUCUGCAUAGAAAAUUAGAAUUAGAAACCCACAAGGAAAAAAUCAAUCCCACAAAACUAUAAAAAUUUAAAGAAAGACACAAACUUUGUUUCACCCAAGAGGCUCAAAUAGAGAAAGACGCGAGCUUUGUACAUGGAUCUUGUCAUAAUUGCAAACGGUGAAGACGAACUAGAGUGAUUCUACCGUGAGCCUUCUCAAAUCGGAGUCUAUCUUCGCCAGAGAAACCCUAACUGUGGAUGCACCACCACGACAGCAUCUGCAAAGCGAGAACCCCCAACCAUGGAUGCGCCUUCUCGGUCUCUUCUCUUCUUCUACCUCCAACCAGGUUGGGCACCUUCUCUUCCUUCUCGAUUUCUUCUCUGCUCCGACUCUCUUUCCAUGACGGUGUCAAUGAAAACGACACCAAGUUCGCUCCUUUCCGUCUUCCACUGCCAGAUCUGCGUUUCAAUUUUUGGGUUUCUUUUUAUCAAACACUCUCUGCUAGUGUUUAUUUUUCAAACAUUCAUUUCUCCUUCUUCUCAUGCUUUGAUUUUGUGAUUGUGUUCUUCUUAAAGCUACUGGCUUUAAUCUCAUUGCAUUUCCAUCUACAUUUUGAUUACUUCCAACACUAUAGUUUUGGAGAAAGUGUUGGUUCUAUUUGCUCAAUAAGCAAUUGGGUUUUCUCAUUGCGUGUUUGGCUCUGUUGUUCUUUAAAUUUUAUUUAAUAUUAAGGUUUCUCAACAUUUACAAUUGUUAUUUAUUGGUGUUGCGUCAAUUUUUAAUAUUAAGGUUUGAUUCUGGUGUUGUGUUUAGAAAUAAGAAAUUAAGGGUGAGAAUUUCAUGUUUCUGGGGAUGGUUUAGUGAGGGUGAUGAUAUUGGUGAAGAACAUGAUGAAUAUGAUGAAGAAGUUGAUGAAUAUUUCUGGAAAUUCCAGAAACCGUUAGAUUUUUGACAGAAAGGUGACGGAAAACCAAAAGUGCUAACGGAGGUAAACGUGUGGGACCAAAACUGUAAUUUUUAAAGUCUAGGGACCAUUUUUGCACAAAGAGUAUAAGUGGGGGACCAAAAGUGCAUUUAAGCCUUCAUAUAAAUAGAAACCCUUUUGAAAACUCUUCUUCUAGUCCCUCCCAAACCCAACCUCAGUGCUCCGUCCGCCACCAAUGUCCACGCACCUGCAUCCUAGCGACAGCAUCAAACUCACCAUGAUCGAGAACGCCGUCUUCGAUACACUUUGCGCCACCCUCCGCCGCUCCCGCCUCGAAACUCAGCUCCGGUCGCCGGCGGCUGGGUUCGCGACAAGCUUCUGGGGGAAAAUUGCUUGAGCAUUGAUAUCGUUCUUGACAAUAUAUUGGCCACUGAGUUUGUGUAUAAGGUCAGGGAGUACUUGUUGUCAAUUGGUCAAGAUGCACUGGAAAUCUCUGUUUUUGAAAGCAAUGCGGCGAGAGGUUGUCACGGUUGCCGCCAUGCUCCGGAGCUCCGCUCCAUCAAUCUUAGGCCCAGGGAUCCUCCAAAGUCGUGCUCACCAGUCCAAACAUUUGGAAACAGCGAGGAUGUGUCUGUUUGGUGUGUGGAUUCAUUUCGUUGACCUAAGGAGGGAAGAGUACACUGAUAAUAGCUGCAUUCCUUCUGAGCAAACAUUUCGCACACCAGAAGAGGACGUAUAUAGGAGGGAUUUGACAAUUAACAGUCUUGGCGUUUCUUACUUGGAUACUGCAUGGAACCUUAUCCAGUUAAUUGGAGCGUCAACCUUUACUGCUCGUGAGAGGAGAAAAUCAUUAUAUGCUGCUUUGUUUCUCCCACUUUGUCUUACAGAGAAAUGAAAGAUAAGAAGGGUUUCUCUUAAGAGAGUUUGAAGAUAACUGGCGAGUUGCACUGUUCAUAUCCACAAUAUUACAUUCUAUUGACAUAGAAGACACUGCGGACAAGUACUCACAGUCACAGUUGUGCGAACGAAGAGAUCUGUUUAAUACUGUGGAGAAUUCUAUAAUCAAACUAGUUGGAUAGAGCAAUGGCUUGGCAACUUGCCUAUCAAUCCGGAGUUGGGGAGGAAUGCAUUGAAUGGUUGAAGUUGGAGUGAGAAUAAAUUGAAAAUGAGGAAGAAGAGUAUAAACAAUAAAAGGAAAUGUAUUUUGAAUGUUAUGUAUGCAUUAUUUAAAAGUAUAGUAGAAGGUUAGAAAUGUACAUGCAAUAGAAUGAUUAGAUGUCAGUGUAAAUACAUUUGAACUACUAGUCUACUACAAACAUUUUGCCUAAGGUUUUACACCAUCUCUAAUUGUCAUGAAAUUUUUUC
Long non-coding RNA from Lotus japonicus, 2422 nucleotides. RefSeq lists it as uncharacterized. The record is from RefSeq and is a predicted model, not a curated record. The transcript has 8 exons. Lineage: Eukaryota; Viridiplantae; Streptophyta; Magnoliopsida; Fabales; Fabaceae.